CAAUAAAUUGAUAAAUCUAAAUAUCUAAAUUGAUUCAAUCAAAUAAAUAAACACCUAUGUACAUCUACCAUUAAUCGCCUAAUUAAAUACAACACUAAAUAACUAAAUACUUCCUCUCCCAAACAAAAACUCUUUUUCCGAUGACUUGCCUAAUGCCUACUUCUAAAAUUGCUUCCAAACAAUGCUAGCGAGGAUUGUAAGUCCUCAAAAUACAAAUGAUUUCUCUUUGGGUUUUCUUGCUUCGGCUUUCCAAUAGUCUGCUAAAUCACUAACCAAAAAAAAACAUAUAAUUCCCAAACUGCUUCAGACAAAAAUUCACCUUUAAUUUGUUUGGUGGGACGAGAGACAACUGCAUUUAUUGUUUUGCAGAUCACCGUGGAUCCCCCAGAAUCGGACAACGACGUUAAUGCCUCUGGACAUAACCCGGACCACGACUCGACAGAUCCCCCGGCACCUCUUCCUCUUUUCAGAUCCGGACAGCGGGCUCCACGAGUCGGACAACGAGGCUACUACCACCUGGUAAUACCUGGACCACAACUCGGGACCCACACUUCCUUCCCUUCUACCUCCGAUACAUAACUACCAUGUCCAUUUUCCUCACUUCUACUCCUCUCAGCGGCUACGACGGCUAGGAUUUAUUCCCGGCUCGCGGACCGGCUGAGUUUCGUUCUACCAGGGUUCCAUUUUACACCGGGUCUUUAAGACUCGUGUUUCAAAUCGAUCCCUUCUAUUUCCUUUGGACGCCAUUUGUUAUGAUCCGCCUCUUUGCCACCCUGGCCUAUCGUUCCCAGCUAGCUCACGGGGAAGUCAGGGGUGUUUCCGACCCGAUAAGUCAGGGGACGGAUUGAACAAAACAAAAACAAAAAAACAUACAAAAAAAACAAAUCUAAUUUAUAGGACAGACUUGUCUUCGUUGGCACUUUCGUCAGCGGGGAUAGUUGGUUUCGUUAUCCCUAGCAGGGUCCCACCCUUUCAUGAGCGCCACCUUCCAUGAGCGCUCCCUUUUCAUAUUCAGGGUCCCACUCUUCUUCUCGCUCUCGUCCCACCCAACUACCGUUUUCUAUUCACUCAUGACUCUGUUCAAAUUUUCAUUUUUAUAUCCAUUAUAUUUUCUUACUUAUCUUCUUGAACAUUAAUUCAUAAUCUAGGUUUAUAUAAAGGAAACAAAUACUAACACCAAAAAAAUACUAACAAAAA
Drosophila pseudoobscura is the source of this 1197-nucleotide long non-coding RNA. RefSeq lists it as uncharacterized. The transcript has 2 exons. Lineage: Eukaryota; Metazoa; Arthropoda; Insecta; Diptera; Drosophilidae. The record is from RefSeq and is a predicted model, not a curated record.